AUGCACGCUGGCGGCGUGCCUCAUACCUGCCAGUCGAGCGAACAGACGAGGAGCUUGCUCCUCUGACGUUAGCGGCGGACGGGUGAGUAACACGUGGAUAACCUACCUAUAAGACUGGGAUAACUUCGGGAAACCGGAGCUAAUACCGGAUAAUAUAUUGAACCGCAUGGUUCAAUAGUGAAAGACGGUUUUGCUGUCACUUAUAGAUGGAUCCGCGCCGCAUUAGCUAGUUGGUAAGGUAACGGCUUACCAAUGCAACGAUGCGUAGCCGACCUGAGAGGGUGAUCGGCCACACUGGAACGGAGACACGGUCCAGACUCCUACGGGAGGCAGCAGUAGGGAAUCUUCCGCAAUGGGCGAAAGCCUGACGGAGCAACGCCGCGUGAGUGAUGAAGGUCUUCGGAUCGUAAAACUCUGUUAUUAGGGAAGAACAAAUGUGUAAGUAACUAUGCACGUCUUGACGGUACCUAAUCAGAAAGCCACGGCUAACUACGUG
Molecule: ribosomal RNA, 496 nt
Filed under: uncultured bacterium
Lineage: Bacteria
Description: partial 16S ribosomal RNA
Rfam family: Bacterial small subunit ribosomal RNA
Source: RNAcentral